Molecule: ribosomal RNA, 504 nt
Filed under: Staphylococcus aureus
Lineage: Bacteria; Bacillati; Bacillota; Bacilli; Caryophanales; Staphylococcaceae
Description: bacterial LSU rRNA
Rfam family: Bacterial large subunit ribosomal RNA
Source: RNAcentral
AGAUUAAGUUAUUAAGGGCGCACGGUGGAUGCCUUGGCACUAGAAGCCGAUGAAGGACGUUACUAACGACGAUAUGCUUUGGGGAGCUGUAAGUAAGCUUUGAUCCAGAGAUUUCCGAAUGGGGAAACCCAGCAUGAGUUAUGUCAUGUUAUCGAUAUGUGAAUACAUAGCAUAUCAGAAGGCACACCCGGAGAACUGAAACAUCUUAGUACCCGGAGGAAGAGAAAGAAAAUUCGAUUCCCUUAGUAGCGGCGAGCGAAAUGGGAAGAGCCCAAACCAACAAGCUUGCUUGUUGGGGUUGUAGGACACUCUAUACGGAGUUACAAAGGACGACAUUAGACGAAUCAUCUGGAAAGAUGAAUCAAAGAAGGUAAUAAUCCUGUAGUCGAAAAUGUUGUCUCUCUUGAGUGGAUCCUGAGUACGACGGAGCACGUGAAAUUCCGUCGGAAUCUGGGAGGACCAUCUCCUAAGGCUAAAUACUCUCUAGUGACCGAUAGUGAACCA